AUGAGGGAAGACAAAGGGACAACCCCCCCCACAAUACAGCAACGUGGAGUCUGCAGGAAAACUCAGUAAAGCAAUGUGGAAAAAGAAUACUCCAAAGUGGCAUGAACUAUACACUGAGUUCAUCACAGCUUCAUUUGUAUUCUUCACUUUACUCAGCAGCAUCCUCAGCACUUACUGUGCCCGUGACAUCACCUGAGAGAAACUUCUAAAGGCUCUGUGGGACAUACACUUGCUAGUAAGACGUUCUGAUGGCAAAAGGUUUGUGCAAGUAUAACUCAGAGUGUAAGCUGGUCUGAAGAAUCUGAAUUGUUGUUGAUGAAGCAGAAGUAGAGUUGAGGGUGAGAUUGUGAGCUAGAAAAAUACAUCUUUUAUUCUAGACAGAAAUAAAUCUGGUAUUUGCAUCUGCAGGAGAAUGAACUGGCAGCCCAAAGUGACUUAGUGCUGAAUAACUUUUCCAAUAACUAUCUGAGCUGCAAUGGGAUAAUAAUGCACCAGGUUUUACAGGGCAAGAGUUAGUGAUUCAGUCUCUGUGUGAUGCAGGUGGCUCCUACUCCACCCACAUAUAAAAGAGGAUGGUGUGACUCCUGUAAGGACAGAUGAGCCUUUGCAAUUGAGAAGUUUGAAAGCAGUCAAAUUGCAAGAGGUUUAAGGUUCUGUUUUCUGUGAAUCCCUUUUAAAGACAGGAAAGCUUAGGAAGGGGGCAACUGUGGAAAUUUUGGUGGAAAUGCUGGUGAUAGUGCAGGGUAAGAGAUAGCCUGUUGUAUGAUCAUACCAACACAUGGACCAGAAUGCAACUUCACAGAGCUUUUAAAGUCGCAAGGAUGUUACAUUUGAUGGGUUCUUGUUGGGGAUGAGGGUGUUGCAGAGAUGGCUUCAGGCUGCCAAGUUGUACAAUUCUACUUAGAUGGCUUCAUAUCAAGAAAUAGUUAUGAAUGGGGAAACUUACUGUACAGAGCAGCCCACUAAACUGUACAGAGCAGCAAAACUAGCUCCCUCUUUUGGUCUGCUGGAAAUAAUGAAGAGAAACAAGUUCUAUAGUUGCAUAAGAACAAUUUGACUUUCUUACACAAGAACAAAUUGUCUAUUGCUUCCCUAAGUAAUCACCUUUCCUAAGCAAGUUGUGUUUGUUACCUGCCAUUUUGUCUGGUCACUAAUAAAUAGCUGGUGUGCACAGAUGGAUGGGUUUACUGUCCUUGUUAGAAAGUUAAGUAAUAGUGGUGUUAUACUUCAUACUUCAUGUACUUUUGUGGUAAUGGAAGAGUAUUGGAAGUAACCCCAUACAGACAAAACUGACAAUAAGGAACAAGUUAGCAUAAAAAACUUGGCCUUCCAUCCGGGUGUGUCAUUUCCUUUGGGCUGGAAGUUUUCCCCAUCUUGUAUUUAAGAGAUAAAAUAUUUGUCUGACUUGCUUAGAAACUUCUGUCAGCUGUGGGAGCACAUCCCAUUAUUCACUGAAUUAGUGGAUUCGUCUGGAGUUUCAAAACUAAGCAAAAGCUCAUUAAAAGAAUAGGGCCAAGUCCUUGAACUCUGUCUUCAAUAGUGAGAAUAUAUUUUAGGUAGUGUAAGAAAGUAUCCUAUAGUCUGAAAUCACAUCCCUAACUAUCUUAGACGGCUGGAGAUUUCAGGAAAAACCACCCUUGUAUAAUAGUCUUUCAUGCUGUGUUUUCAUAAAGUCUGAGGCAGCUCAAUAAAGAAGCUCCAACGUGAUGUAUUUUAA
Molecule: long non-coding RNA, 1717 nt
Organism: Neopsephotus bourkii (Bourke's parrot)
Lineage: Eukaryota; Metazoa; Chordata; Aves; Psittaciformes; Psittacidae
Exons: 2
Source: RefSeq, a predicted model, not a curated record